This 107-nucleotide small nuclear RNA is filed under the name Rhodnius prolixus. Lineage: Eukaryota; Metazoa; Arthropoda; Insecta; Hemiptera; Reduviidae. The record is from RNAcentral.
GUACUCGCUUCGGCGGUACAUAUACUAAAAUUGGAACGAUACAGAGAAGAUUAGCAUGGCCCUUGCGCAAGGAUAUUAAUAUUUAGAAUUUAAAUAGCGAGGAUUCG